RNAcentral lists this ribosomal RNA (446 nucleotides) under uncultured bacterium. RNAcentral describes it as "partial 16S ribosomal RNA". It matches the Rfam family "Bacterial small subunit ribosomal RNA", at positions 338 to 795 of the family's 1533-position model. The record is from RNAcentral.
CCUACGGGUGGCAGCAGUCGAGAAUCAUUCACAAUGGGGGAAACCCUGAUGGUGCGACGCCGCGUGGGGGAAUGAAGGUCUUCGGAUUGUAAACCCCUGUCAUGUGGGAGCAAAUUAAAAAGAUAGUACCCCAAGAGGAAGAGACGGCUAACUCUGUGCCAGCAGCCGCGGUAAUACAGCGGUCUUAAUCGUUGUUCGGAAGCACUUGGCGUAAAGCGUUCGUAGGCUGUGUCGUAAGUCGUGUGUGAAAAGCCCGGGCUCAACCCGCGGACGGCACAUGAUACUGCGAGACUAGAGUAAUGGAGGGGGAACCGGAAUUCUCGGUGUAGCAGUGAAAUGCGUAGAUAGCGAGAGGAACACUCGUGGCGAAGGCGGGUUCCUGGACAUUAACUGACGCUGAGGCACGAAGGCCAGGGGAGCGAAAGGGAUUAGAUACCCCAGUAGUC